This 330-nucleotide ribosomal RNA is filed under the name uncultured bacterium. RNAcentral describes it as "bacterial SSU rRNA". It matches the Rfam family "Bacterial small subunit ribosomal RNA", at positions 568 to 898 of the family's 1533-position model. The record is from RNAcentral.
UCCGUAGGCGGUGCGGCAAGUCGGAAGUGAAAUCUCAGGGCUUAACCCUGAGGCUGCUUCCGAAACUGCCGUGCUCGAGUGCGAGAGAGGCGAGUGGAAUUGCAGGUGUAGCGGUGAAAUGCGUAGAUAUCUGCAGGAACAUCCGAGGCGAAAGCGGCUCGCUGGAUCGCAACUGACGCUGAGGGACGAAAGCUGGGGGAGCAAACAGGAUUAGAUACCCUGGUAGUCCUAGCCCUAAACGAUCAGGACUGGGCGUGGGCCUCGUACGGGGCUCGUGCCGCAGCUAACGCGUUAAGUCCUGCGCCUGGGGAGUACGGUCGCAAGGCUGAA